CCUACGGGUGGCAGCAGUGAGGAAUAUUGGUCAAUGGGCGCGAGCCUGAACCAGCCAAGUAGCGUGAAGGAUGACUGCCCUACGGGUUGUAAACUUCUUUUAUAAAGGAAUAAAGUGAGGCACGUGUGCCUUUUUGUAUGUACUUUAUGAAUAAGGAUCGGCUAACUCCGUGCCAGCAGCCGCGGUAAUAUGGAGGAUCCGAGCGUUAUCCGGAUUUAUUGGGUUUAAAGGGAGCGUAGAUGGGUUGUUAAGUCAGUUGUGAAAGUUUGCGGAUCAACCGUAAAAUUGCAACUGAUACUGGCAGUAUAGAGGACAGUUGAGGUAGGCGGAGUUCGUGGUGUAGCGGUGAAAUGCUUAGAUAUCACGAAGAACUCCGAUUGCGAAGGCAGCUUACUAAACUGCCACUGACAUUGAUGCUCGAAAGUGUGGGUAGCAAACAGGAUUAGAUACCCCAGUAGUC
Molecule: ribosomal RNA, 460 nt
Filed under: uncultured bacterium
Lineage: Bacteria
Description: partial 16S ribosomal RNA
Rfam family: Bacterial small subunit ribosomal RNA
Source: RNAcentral